AUUGAACGCUGGCGGCAUGCUUUACACAUGCAAGUCGAACGGCAGCACGGGUGCUUGCACCUGGUGGCGAGUGGCGAACGGGUGAGUAAUGCAUCGGAACGUGCCCAUGAGUGGGGGAUAGCCCGGCGAAAGCCGGAUUAAUACCGCAUACGCCCUUAGGGGGAAAGCGGGGGAGUCUUCGGACCUCGCGCUAUUGGAGCGGCCGAUGUCGGAUUAGCUAGUAGGUGAGGUAAAGGCUCACCUAGGCGACGAUCCGUAGCUGGUCUGAGAGGAUGAUCAGCCACACUGGGACUGAGACACGGCCCAGACUCCUACGGGAGGCAGCAGUGGGGAAUUUUGGACAAUGGGCGCAAGCCUGAUCCAGCCAUGCCGCGUGAGUGAAGAA
Molecule: ribosomal RNA, 385 nt
Filed under: uncultured bacterium
Lineage: Bacteria
Description: bacterial SSU rRNA
Rfam family: Bacterial small subunit ribosomal RNA
Source: RNAcentral